RNAcentral lists this ribosomal RNA (274 nucleotides) under uncultured bacterium. RNAcentral describes it as "partial 16S ribosomal RNA". It matches the Rfam family "Bacterial small subunit ribosomal RNA", at positions 523 to 796 of the family's 1533-position model. The record is from RNAcentral.
AUACGGGGGGAGCAAGCGUUGUCCGGAAUCAUUGGGCGUAAAGGGCACGUAGGCGGUUUCUUAAGUCGAAUGUGAAAUCUCACGGCUCAACCGUGAAACUGCGUUCGAAACUAAGUGACUUGAGUUUGGGAGAGGUGUACGGAAUUCCUGGUGUAGCGGUGGAAUGCGUAGAUAUCAGGAAGAACACCAAUGGCGAGGGCAGUACACUGGCCUGAAACUGACGCUGAGGUGCGAAAGCGUGGGGAGCAAACAGGAUUAGAAACCCCGGUAGUCC